RNA transcript from Fundulus heteroclitus (mummichog), 2101 nucleotides. It is a transcript of the gene named lactase-like b, with no coding region annotated. The record is from RefSeq and is a predicted model, not a curated record. The transcript has 17 exons. NCBI's taxonomy places the organism in Eukaryota, Metazoa, Chordata, Actinopteri, Cyprinodontiformes, Fundulidae.
AUGUGGGCAGCUUCCACAAUGACUGCAGGGGACAUCUCUGUGGGAGAGUGGUGCUACACCAGGCUGUGGACGUGGCCAGCUUUCUACACCUUCUGCCGCUUUGGAGGUGAAACCACAGUUUGUAUAGGAUCUGUCUGCCUCAGCACGAUGAGCCCACACCUCAUUGAGUUUGAAAAGCGACAUUUGGCUUUGCAUUAGGGGACCGGGACCCCCCGCAGACCAUCGCACUGGAUGCUUCUAGACUGCUUGAUGGACUUUUAAGGUUGUCUCUGUCACCAUUAGCCUUCAUUUUUUCAAGAAAGGGAGGAUCUCAUCAGCUGUGCUGCAGGCUCUGGCGUACCAUGCAGCCCCGCUGUGCAGUCAAUGUGUGCCAUGUGCUUAUGUUGGUGCUGUGUCUGUCUGCGGGUGAGGACUUUGACUGGACAAAGAGCAACCACGGCUCCUUCUAUUAUGGCACUUUUCCAACUGGAUUUUCGUGGGGUGCCGGAGGUUCAGCCUAUCAAACAGAGGGAGCCUGGGACAAAGAUGGAAAAGGACUGAGCAUCUGGGACGUGUUCAGUCACAAAAAGGGCAAAAUCCAGCUGAAUGACACGGGGGAUUCCUCCUGUGAGGGCUACUACAAAAUCAAGGAUGAUAUUUCUCUGAUGAAGGAGCUGAGGCUGAACCACUAUCGCUUCUCAAUCUCCUGGCCCAGGAUUAUUCCCACUGGUGUAAAGUCUGACCACGUUAACGAAAAAGGAAUACAGUACUACGACGAACUGAUUGACCACCUCCUGGAGAACAACAUCACUCCCAUUGUUACGCUGUAUCACUGGGAUCUGCCACAGAUUUUACAAGAGAAAUAUGGCGGAUGGCAAAACAUAAGCAUGGUCAAUCAUUUCAAUGAGUUUGCCAACCUUUGCUUUGAGAAAUUUGGCGAUCGAGUGAAGCACUGGAUCACUUUCAACAAUCCAUGGUCUGUGGCUGUUGAAGGCUAUGAGACAGGUGAGCACGCUCCUGGGCUGAAGCUGAGAGGAACCGGGGCUUACAGAGCAGCACAUCACAUCAUAAAGGCGCAUGCUAAAGUUUGGCACACUUAUGAUACGCAAUGGAGGGUGAAGCAAAAAGGUCUGGUUGGCAUCUCUCUGUCGGGGGACUGGGGUGAGCCGGUGGACAUCAGCAACCAGAAAGACAUUGAAGCAGCAGAGCGAUAUGUCCAGUUCUACCUGGGCUGGUUUGCCACACCCAUCUUUCACGGAGACUACCCUCAAGUAAUGAAGGACUUUGUCGGAAGGAAGAGUGUGCAGCAGGGAAUUGGGACAUCUCGACUUCCCGCCUUCUCUCCGCAAGAAAAGAGCUACAUAAAGGGGACGUGUGACUUCCUUGGCAUCGGCCAUUUCACCACCCGGUACAUCACCCACAGGAACGACCAGCCAGGCCGGGGCAGCAACAGCUACUUCACAGACCGUGACCUGGCUGAGCUGGUUGACCCGCGGUGGCCUGAUCCUGGGUCAGAAUGGCUCUACUCUGUGCCGUGGGGUUUCAGACGUCUGCUGAAUUUUGUCAAGACUCAGUACGGAAACCCGAUGAUUUACGUGACUGAGAACGGAGUCUCUGAGAAGAUGAUGUGCACAGAGCUGUGUGAUGAGUGGAGGAUACAAUACUAUAAGGACUACAUCAAUGAGAUGCUAAAAGCUAUCAGAGAUGGUGUCAAUGUAAAGGGCUACACUGCCUGGUCCUUGCUGGACAAGUUUGAGUGGGACGAAGGUUACUCCGAGAGAUUCGGCUUGUACUACGUGGAUUUCAGGAACAAAAACAAGCCUCGUUAUCCAAAAGCGUCUGUGCAGUUUUACAAACGGAUCAUCAGCUCCAAUGGAUUUCCGAAUCAAAGAGAGGUCGAAAACUGGAGGAGGAAGUCUGUUGAGAUGUGUUCUUCCAGCAACCAGCUAUUGGCUGCAGCUAGAAGAAAGUCCAAGGAACAUGCUGAGAUGCCAAGGGUUUGGCCAGUGCAUGACGAAGUUUAGAACUUCAGGAGGAACAGCGGAGUACUGCUGCCAAUAUUCUAAGACUUAUACAUGACCCGCUGACCAGCCACAUGGAGAUGGUGACUGAGAUCGUCGUC